This 390-nucleotide long non-coding RNA is filed under the name Malus domestica (apple). RNAcentral's name for it is "long non-coding RNA (MDOM_LNC000137)". Lineage: Eukaryota; Viridiplantae; Streptophyta; Magnoliopsida; Rosales; Rosaceae. The record is from RNAcentral.
UGGCAGUUUUGUGAUCCUUCAGUACUCGGAUCAGUUUAUCCCUCUCUUCUGCUAUGAGUUGUGAUGAUAUGAUGAUCGGUAAUGUUUUAUCCUCUCCCAAAAAUGCAUAUUUCAAAUGUUCAGUAAUCGGUUUAAGCUCCAAUUUUAGGUGCCUAAAUCAUAGAAGGAAGAGCUUUUUUCGUUAGAAGGAGGAAGAGAAAUAAAAUAGGAAGAAGACUUACCACGAAUUGGUGAAAGAAACUCAAGGGCUGCCAUUGUUUGGAUUAAUUCUUCUUCAAUGUGCUAAGAAUAAUUAAGCUUUCCAUGUGUAAUGCUAUGCUCUAACACCUUCUCUAAAUUAUCUUGUCCCACACCUUCAUUAAAACAAUCUUGCACAAAAUAGUCAAAUGC